This is a long non-coding RNA of Oncorhynchus nerka (sockeye salmon), 373 nucleotides long. RefSeq lists it as uncharacterized. The record is from RefSeq and is a predicted model, not a curated record. The transcript has 3 exons. NCBI's taxonomy places the organism in Eukaryota, Metazoa, Chordata, Actinopteri, Salmoniformes, Salmonidae.
CACAGAAAUAUUUUAAUUAUAUUUCGCGCGCCAGGAUCGUCAAGUCACAUGACAUCACUCUCCCAGAGUGAGUUGCAAGUGUAGGGUCGGUCAGCGAAAGAAGAGUGAAAAAUAAAACGGCAAUGGCGCAUGGUAAAUAUGGAUGUUUCAUCACAAUGUUCCCCAUCUCCACAUCCUUGGCCUGCAGCUCCUGUCGAGAUAGGAAUUCCACAAUGCCAGCCCCAAUGGAGUCACCCAAGACGUUGGUUGUGGUACGCAGCCGAUCACUACAAUCCAGGAAUAACGAACCAAUCAACUGCAAUGAUGAGGGUGAUGUCAUCAGUGGGAAGUCCAACAGAGGUCAACACAAUCACCAUGGUGACCAGUCCAGCCU